AGAGUUUGAUCCUGGCUCAGAUUGAACGCUGGCGGCAGGCCUAACACAUGCAAGUCGAGCGGUAGCACAGAGAGCUUGCUCUCGGGUGACGAGCGGCGGACGGGUGAGUAAUGUCUGGGAAACUGCCUGAUGGAGGGGGAUAACUACUGGAAACGGUAGCUAAUACCGCAUAACGUCGCAAGACCAAAGUGGGGGACCUUCGGGCCUCAUGCCAUCAGAUGUGCCCAGAUGGGAUUAGCUAGUAGGUGGGGUAACGGCUCACCUAGGCGACGAUCCCUAGCUGGUCUGAGAGGAUGACCAGCCACACUGGAACUGAGACACGGUCCAGACUCCUACGGGAGGCAGCAGUGGGGAAUAUUGCACAAUGGGCGCAAGCCUGAUGCAGCCAUGCCGCGUGUGUGAAGAAGGCCUUCGGGUUGUAAAGCACUUUCAGCGGGGAGGAAGGCGUUAAGGUUAAUAACCUCAUCGAUUGACGUUACCCGCAGAAGAAGCACCGGCUAACUCCGUGCCAGCAGCCGCGGUAAUACGGAGGGUGCAAGCGUUAAUCGGAAUUACUGGGCGUAAAGCGCACGCAGGCGGUCUGUCAAGUCGGAUGUGAAAUCCCCGGGCUCAACCUGGGAACUGCAUUCGAAACUGGCAGGCUAGAGUCUUGUAGAGGGGGGUAGAAUUCCAGGUGUAGCGGUGAAAUGCGUAGAGAUCUGGAGGAAUACCGGUGGCGAAGGCGGCCCCCUGGACAAAGACUGACGCUCAGGUGCGAAAGCGUGGGGAGCAAACAGGAUUAGAUACCCUGGUAGUCCACGCCGUAAACGAUGUCGAUUUGGAGGUUGUGCCCUUGAGGCGUGGCUUCCGGAGCUAACGCGUUAAAUCGACCGCCUGGGGAGUACGGCCGCAAGGUUAAAACUCAAAUGAAUUGACGGGGGCCCGCACAAGCGGUGGAGCAUGUGGUUUAAUUCGAUGCAACGCGAAGAACCUUACCUGGUCUUGACAUCCACAGAACUUUCCAGAGAUGGAUUGGUGCCUUCGGGAACUGUGAGACAGGUGCUGCAUGGCUGUCGUCAGCUCGUGUUGUGAAAUGUUGGGUUAAGUCCCGCAACGAGCGCAACCCUUAUCCUUUGUUGCCAGCGGUUAGGCCGGGAACUCAAAGGAGACUGCCAGUGAUAAACUGGAGGAAGGUGGGGAUGACGUCAAGUCAUCAUGGCCCUUACGACCAGGGCUACACACGUGCUACAAUGGCAUAUACAAAGAGAAGCGACCUCGCGAGAGCAAGCGGACCUCAUAAAGUAUGUCGUAGUCCGGAUUGGAGUCUGCAACUCGACUCCAUGAAGUCGGAAUCGCUAGUAAUCGUAGAUCAGAAUGCUAUGGUGAAUACGUUCCCGGGCCUUGUACACACCGCCCGUCACACCAUGGGAGUGGGUUGCAAAAGAAGUAGGUAGCUUAACCUUCGGGAGGGCGCUUACCACUUUGUGAUUCAUGACUGGGGUGAAGUCGUAACAAGGUAACCGUAGGGGAACCUGCGGCUGGAUCACCUCCUUA
This 1533-nucleotide ribosomal RNA is filed under the name Klebsiella pneumoniae. Its description in RNAcentral is "bacterial SSU rRNA". It matches the Rfam family "Bacterial small subunit ribosomal RNA". Lineage: Bacteria; Pseudomonadati; Pseudomonadota; Gammaproteobacteria; Enterobacterales; Enterobacteriaceae. The record is from RNAcentral.